RNAcentral lists this long non-coding RNA (232 nucleotides) under Durio zibethinus. Its description in RNAcentral is "long non-coding RNA (DZIB_LNC000332)". Lineage: Eukaryota; Viridiplantae; Streptophyta; Magnoliopsida; Malvales; Malvaceae. The record is from RNAcentral.
GAAAUUCUUGUUCUUGUAUAUAAACAGGUAAAGGAAUUUUAAUAGCUUAUUUGAUUUAUAUUAAUAUUUAAGCCCAAUCCCCACUCUUAACCAUGGACUUGGAGUGAUAUUGUUUCUGGGCUAAAAGAAACAUUAGCCCGUUAAUAUGGGCCUCCAAACUUUAUUUGUUGAAAACUAAAAGUUUCAUUACUUUAAAUUAAAUUUCUUUAAUUUUUAUUAUUUUUAUCUGAUG